This is a transfer RNA of Ovis aries (sheep), 71 nucleotides long. It matches the Rfam family "tRNA". Rfam says of the family: Transfer RNA (tRNA) molecules are approximately 80 nucleotides in length. Their secondary structure includes four short double-helical elements and three loops (D, anti-codon, and T loops). NCBI's taxonomy places the organism in Eukaryota, Metazoa, Chordata, Mammalia, Artiodactyla, Bovidae. The record is from Rfam.
UCCUGGUGGCUCAGACGGUAAAGCAUCCGCCUGCAACGCGGGAGACCCAGGUUCGAUUCCUGGGUCGGGAA